This 239-nucleotide long non-coding RNA is filed under the name Theobroma cacao (cacao). RNAcentral's name for it is "long non-coding RNA (TCAC_LNC005875)". Lineage: Eukaryota; Viridiplantae; Streptophyta; Magnoliopsida; Malvales; Malvaceae. The record is from RNAcentral.
UGUAGGGUAACUUUCGAGGUACAACCUUUAGAGUUCACUUCACGCCAAACCACCACAUGAGGGUGAACUCAGCCAACGCCAAGGAACGGCUAUGUUUUCAAAAUAAAAACAUGAUUUAUGUGUACAUGACUUUUUCACAACCUUGGCAGACUCGGUUGGGAUAGCCUUCGGCCAAGGUAUCCCUAACAAUCGAGUAUGAGAAUGAUUUUGGCACGAGCCAAGCUUUUAAGAUACUCAUA